CCUACGGGAGGCAGCAGUGAGGAAUAUUGGUCAAUGGACGAGAGUCUGAACCAGCCAAGUAGCGUGAAGGAUGACUGCCCUAUGGGUUGUAAACUUCUUUUAUAUGGGAAUAAAAUGUUCCACGUGUGGGAUUUUGUAUGUACCAUAUGAAUAAGGAUCGGCUAACUCCGUGCCAGCAGCCGCGGUAAUACGGAGGAUACGAGCGUUAUCCGGAUUUAGUGGGUUUAAAGGGAGCGUAGGUGGAUUGUUAAGUCAGUUGUGAAAGUUUGCGGCUCAACCGUAAAAUUGCAGUUGAAACUGGCAGUCUUGAGUACAGUAGAGGUGGGCGGAAUUCGUGGUGUAGCGGUGAAAUGCUUAGAUAUCACGAAGAACUCCGAUUGCGAAGGCAGCUCACUGGACUGCAACUGACACUGAGGCUCGAAAGUGUGGGUAUCAAACAGGAUUAGAUACCCCAGUAGUC
Molecule: ribosomal RNA, 460 nt
Filed under: uncultured bacterium
Lineage: Bacteria
Description: partial 16S ribosomal RNA
Rfam family: Bacterial small subunit ribosomal RNA
Source: RNAcentral